GAAAUGCGAUAAGUAAUGUGAAUUGCAGAAUUCCGUGAAUCAUCGAAUCUUUGAACGCACAUUGCGCCCCCUG
RNAcentral lists this unclassified non-coding RNA (73 nucleotides) under plant metagenome. Its description in RNAcentral is "partial contains 5.8S ribosomal RNA, internal transcribed spacer 2, and large subunit ribosomal RNA". It matches the Rfam family "5.8S ribosomal RNA", at positions 50 to 122 of the family's 154-position model. From Rfam's summary of the family: 5.8S ribosomal RNA (5.8S rRNA) is a component of the large subunit of the eukaryotic ribosome. The record is from RNAcentral.